UUGGGAGUAAAUGUGCUCUAGAUAUAGGGCUAGCCUACAAAAGAACGCAAGCACCAUGUAUGUUUCAGACACUGAGAUAGAAGCGAGAAGAAUAAGUUUGUGUAUAAUCUCAUGGAGGGGAAAACUAUUCUUCUUUGCUUUAUGGUGAUUGUGCUAAUGGAAAAUUUCAGUCUAACUGGUACAAAAUCAGUGCUCUCCUAUACACAUAUAUAUAUAUAUAUAUAUGUAUAUGUUUCCUUUCUCCUGCCAACAUGAGUAGAAUAGCAUUGUCAAAUGAACUGCAUGAAUUUCUUUGGAACUUUCUUAAUUUAGAAUUGUUUAAUUGGUGUAUGUUCUUGUCUACAGAGAGUUGCAAAGGAUACAUGGGUUUUAUUGCCCCUGUAUGUGGAGAACCAAAAUGUCGGGAGGCCUGUUGGUUGGAAUGGGGAGACCGUGUCAAGAAAGCUUAUUGUAUGAAUGCCAAGGAGUGUUACUGUCUAGUCUGUGAUUAGAGUUGCAAUUUUCCAUCAUGUAUGUAAAACAAUGGAACAUGAUGUGAUCUUUUAAUAAAUUCUUCUUGUAACAUGCAUGUGACAGUACAUGUUGAUCGCCAUUUUUUUGAGAAACACAAG
Molecule: long non-coding RNA, 611 nt
Filed under: Hordeum vulgare
Lineage: Eukaryota; Viridiplantae; Streptophyta; Magnoliopsida; Poales; Poaceae
Description: long non-coding RNA (HVUL_LNC008436)
Source: RNAcentral